RNAcentral lists this unclassified non-coding RNA (342 nucleotides) under Bombus terrestris (buff-tailed bumblebee). RNAcentral's name for it is "misc RNA ENSBTSG00005037104.1". Lineage: Eukaryota; Metazoa; Arthropoda; Insecta; Hymenoptera; Apidae. The record is from RNAcentral.
AAUCGCUGUGUUGUAGUCGUAUAAUACGACUGACUGGGCGUUCGUUAUAUAAUAGUAAGCAAAGGUAAUAAAUGCUUCCAAAGGCGCUAAAGAGUUUUGUAUUAAAAUCCUUAUGAAUAUUGCAGAUGCUACGACCGCAUUUAGUAACCAGAAUGAUCCGACGAUGGUUAUAUGACGAAGCAAGCUGCGAUACUCGAUUUUCAUUCCCAAUUUCUUCAAACGUUCGUCCACUUUGUCGAUCUGUUUUAUCAAGGCCGAUACGUUCUGAAUAAUAAACGAGUAAAAACGAAAGACAUGCGUGGAGGAGUCCUAUCGUUUUGUUAGCCUAAAAAUCGAUCGAGU